CGGCACUUCCGGGUUGGCCUUCUCCAUGUUGGUCUCGGGAACGUGAAGGGGCGGGGCCUCGAGGUCAGGGGUCAGCGCCUCCCUGGUUGCCGUGGCGACUGGAGCACGCGACGCGGGCGCGAUGGCGGGGACUCUAGGCCCGGGACUUGAUGCUGCUUGGGCCUGGCCCAGUGGCGGGUCCUGGGGACGUGGCAGAGGCCGGCAGACUCUCAGAAGGUGAUGGAUGGGAUAUUCUGAAAGUUGGAAGGCAGGCUUUGAGCCACAGAGAGCCACUGCAACAUUUGAAGAUUCUGGUGAUGAUGCUGACUGCCUGGCCACCUAAGAGGAAGAAAGGUUUGCCAACCCUUCUCUCAUGCUCACCGUCCAUCUUCCAUCACCUUUCCCCCUUUUAAUGCCCUUUCCCUGCUUUUUUUAUCCAAU
RNAcentral lists this long non-coding RNA (420 nucleotides) under Piliocolobus tephrosceles (Ugandan red Colobus). Its description in RNAcentral is "lncRNA (ENSPTEG00000035996.1)". Lineage: Eukaryota; Metazoa; Chordata; Mammalia; Primates; Cercopithecidae. The record is from RNAcentral.